This is a long non-coding RNA of Oreochromis niloticus (Nile tilapia), 3778 nucleotides long. Lineage: Eukaryota; Metazoa; Chordata; Actinopteri; Cichliformes; Cichlidae. The record is from Ensembl.
UGACUACUAUUUAACAGUUUCAAAAAGUUAUGGCACAAUUAUUUCAUAAUACAAACAUGUAUUUAAGACAUUAUGUAUACUUUCAAACUGCUGUUUUAACAAGAGCAGAUCCUACUUUUAGAUCCUUUAGAUUUUUUAAAUUGGUUGGUGUGUUUUCAGGUGGAUCCUCUUUAAUGUUACUGAUAGUUUGAGUUCAUGUCCCUGGAUAUAUAGGUGAAUGCAUGGUCAAUAAUUCUGGUGGUGUUGGAUUUCACUUAAGUAGCUAACGAAAACAACUUUGCACUUUUUAGAGUUCUAAAAAGAGCAAGCAAACUAUUCUAACUAGUGAAGAUUUAAUUGAGUUUGUAAGCAUUAACACUGCUAGUUUUAUGGUUUGGAGCUUGAGGCCGCUAUUAGUGACAGCUGAUCAUAUUUACUUCCCUUUGUUUAGCCUCCUUUAGCUGGUUCUAGUGCUCGAAUAUAUAGAGUAAAUCUGGAUUUAUAAAUAUCUAUCAUGGUGCUUGAGCUGAUGCUGAUGCCAAGGCCAUUAUGCUUCAGUCUGGCAAUGUACAGACACAGAAUAAACAUCAAACUAGCAGGAAAAGUAACUUCACUACUAUGUAUUUAAGUCCUCUUGCUUUUGGUACCUGUUGGGCAAGAUAAAUUAAGUCAUAACUGUAUGUUAAGAAUAUGAAUUUAACAUUUAACAUGUUUUUUUAUAUAAAUAUGUUUUUAUGUCAUUGUCUUUCCAUUUUUCUAGCCCAAAUACCAGCUCCAAUGACCAGAACAACAGACUGUGCAGGUCCACCAGUGCUAUGCUGCCCUGGACAAAACUCCAGUUGUUUCAGGGGGUGUUAUUGUGAUCAGAUAUGUCUGACAUUUGGUGACUGCUGCCGUGACUACAGGUCAACCUGUACAGAAUUUGUGACCCAAGUACCAACAAGAAAACAAGCCACUGGAAACAACAAUAUAAUAUAUACAGAUACAAACAUCACCACACCAACGCUCAAUGCAGCAUCUGCACUUAACAGAACAGACUCAGCAUCCACAGCGCCGGCAUCUGCAGCAACCAGCCAGACAAGCAGUGAUACAUCUACACUAGCAAAUACGAAAACAUCUUCAAUCGUGUCCACUGUAACAGCAGGCACCAAUGCAACAGUGGGCACCACUGCAACAGUGGGCACCACCGCUACGCUAGCAGAUAUCGAAACAACUUCAGUCUCUGGUUCUACACCAACCAGCCAAAAAAGCAGCACUACUGCAUCUACACCUUUAGCUGGCCUCAUAACAUCCAUCUCCACUGCUGCAGGAAGUGGAAACACUGCUGGCAUUUCCAACAAAAACAAGGAUUCCACAACUGACACAAGCUCAGACAAAGAUUUCCAAACAGUGACUUUUCACCUAAAAGCUUCACUUUCAUCCUCUAAUCGGGAUAGCAAAGAUGUGAUCUUAGAGGCUUUAUCCAGUUUCCUGUCCAACGUCCUUCUCCGGUUGAACUGUGAGCGCUGUAUCCUCAAGGUCCAACACGUCAAACCCACCUGAGAAACAGCGUUUGCAGCAGUCACUGGAGGCAGGAUAUGGCACCAGCUAUACUCUGACAAUAAAUUGCAAAAUUCUCAACGACAAAUUAAUUUCUUGAAAUUACAUAAGAUACAAGAUAUAUAUCAGAGGCUUGAAAGUCGAUGCUUUAAGUGAAAGUUCAAGUGGGCUUUUCAGUUUUAUAAUGCUAACAGUCACAUUUAUCACCAGGUAGUUGAAACAUGUGAGAUAGUGCAUACCUCACUGCACAUGCCAUAACUUACAAAUACAGUACCAUACUAUUAAAUGUGAAUCCUGCUAGCUUGUGUGUUGUGUUUGAGAUAACAAAAAGCCCUAAUCCUGACAACAGUAAAGAUACUGUUCUUCUUACGGGAGGAGGCCAAAGAUAAACGUUAGCUGCCUUUAAAAAAAGAUCCAAAGAGCUGGACAGCCUGACUAAAAUUAACAGUUAUCUAAUAAAUUAAUCAUGUUCCUCAGAGAGGAUUUGAAUUACUAUUUUUAUUUUAAUUCUUAUCAUUGCGGAAAUGACUUUCUGGAUAUGGGAUAUGCCAAAAAAACUUCUACUCAGAAAACAAUCUGGCUGUGUUACAGAAAUCUGUGUCACUGUGUUGUCAUUCACUUGUAGCUGUAAUAGCUUUCCCUACAUGUGUACAGUCUGUAAUCAGUCCUGUAUUUGUGCAAUCUCCUCACGUUUACAGCAUGUCAAGGUAGCUGUACUUUGGCAUUGCGCCAGAGUCUGUGUGUGUUAACCAGACUUACCAGUCAGGAAUUGGUUUGCAUCUGAUCCUGAUCCUUUGCAGACUCACUUGGCAAGUAUAAUAUCAUUGAAUUUAAUAUUUAAAAGCAGCAUGACUUAGUACUGGUACUGCCAAGUUUUGGUAUUUGUCAUAAAUCCAAAUGGCAAAAGAGCACCAUUAAUCUGAAAACGUGGAUAUUGGGUAUAGACUACCAGAAGUCAGAUUAAUAAAUUAUUUACUCACGGAUGUCAACAGACUCAAUAAAUUGAUCCUCAAGGCAGGUAACAUUAUGGGGAUGGAGGUGGACUCUCUUAAGGUAGUGUCAGAGAGGCAGAUGUUGUCCAAAAUAAGUACAAUGCUGGAUAAUACCUCCAUGAUGUGCUAAACAGUCACAGGAGCACUACUGAACGGCACAGGAAAUCCUUUCUUCCUCGCCUACAAUUCCUCCAUCUAAAGCACAAGUACGCAGUGCAAUAGUUGCUCACCCUCUACAGAGAAAAUAGCAAGUCAAGUUUGAUGAGAGGGAUACAAUGGAUACAAUCUUUAUCUGUUCAGUGGUAGGGAGCUCAGUUCCCACAGCCAUGUAGGCACCGGCCUGAUAAAGAAGACACAUAGAGUACGCCAUGACCUUGAACACAGUUUACAACUAGUUUUUUUUUUAAUCUUCACACUCUUUCUUUGUUCAGGAAACUUACAGCUACAUAUCAGUAGUACACCAAGGUUAAAGAAGGUGAAACACAAAUAUUCAUUCACACACCUCAAUGUCAACCAUAUUUAAUUUUUUGUAAUAUACUGGCAUAGUUAUAAUUAGAGCUAUUUUUUUAACUCCAUAAUUUGUUGUAUUAUUUACUGUCUAUGAGCAACUGUGACCAUUUGAUUACUUCUGGGAUUAAUGAAGUGUUCUGAUUCUGAUAGGUUAUCCUAGCAUUACUUCACUUCAUGUUUUGUAUGUAUUCCAUUUGCUGUGCAUUAUUAUCAAUCUUCUGUUUGCCUAAUAGACUUGAUUUUUUUAUGCUUGUGUAGUUUUCAAUUAUGAGAUCAGUCUAAAUAUGCAGAGGUACAAAACUGUUGAUAUGAAAGUUGAUAUAACAGGAAACUGAGCUGUGAGGCUGCACACAGUCACUGUGAUGAAAACAUAUUUACUAUUUCUAAAUGCAAGUGAUGCAAAGUUUAGAAGCCAAUUCUGUAUUGAUAUCCAAGUUGCAGAAACAAUUUAAAUGUAAUAAUGUAAUAAAGCAUGGCCUGAUGUUAAUCUGGUAAAAUGACAUAAAGUAUUUCUAAAUUUUUAGGGUGUUAUUCUUUUGUUAGUCUUUUAACCUUUUUCUAUUAAAAACAAACAAACCUGAAUAUACUGUUCGAAAAUAGUUACUUUUUUUUUGUUUGGUGUGCUAUUAUUUUUUAUUACUUUCAUUGAAAGUAUACACAACACACUUCUUUAACAGAGAAAUGACAGAAGGUGAUGUGUAUUCUUUCACUGUUCUAGGAAGUCCACUAUGAUAGCCAUCAGAUGCCACGUACUCUCA